CCUACGGGGGGCUGCAGUAGGGAAUAUUGCUCAAUGGGGGAAACCCUGAAGCAGCAACGCCGCGUGGAGGAUGAAGGUUUUCGGAUUGUAAACUCCUUUUGUUAGAGAAGAUAAUGACGGUAUCUGACGAAUAAGCACCGGCUAACUCCGUGCCAGCAGCCGCGGUAAUACGGAGGGUGCAAGCGUUACUCGGAAUAACUGGGCGUAAAGGGCGCGUAGGCGGGAUAGCAAGUCAGAUGUGAAAUCCUUUGGCUUAACCACAGAACUGCAUUUGAAACUGUUAGUCUCGAGUAUGGGAGGGGUAGGUGGAAUUCUUGGUGUAGCGGUAAAAUCCGUAGAGAGUAAGAGGAAUACUCAUUGCGAAGGCGACCUGCUAGAACAUAACUGACGCUGAUGCGCGAAAGCGUGGGGAGCAAACAGGAUUAGAUACCCGUGUAGUC
RNAcentral lists this ribosomal RNA (440 nucleotides) under uncultured bacterium. RNAcentral's name for it is "partial 16S ribosomal RNA". It matches the Rfam family "Bacterial small subunit ribosomal RNA", at positions 338 to 795 of the family's 1533-position model. The record is from RNAcentral.